Pomacea canaliculata is the source of this 804-nucleotide long non-coding RNA. RefSeq lists it as uncharacterized. NCBI's taxonomy places the organism in Eukaryota, Metazoa, Mollusca, Gastropoda, Architaenioglossa, Ampullariidae. The record is from RefSeq and is a predicted model, not a curated record. The transcript has 4 exons.
UAUUAAUCUACAGGAAAAGGAACAACUUUUGUGAGCGAUGGGGUGGUGAACGUGACCAUCUGCUUCAGGUGUGCUAUUCCUCGCCGUGUUUCCGUCUGGUUUCAGAGAAGAGGUUUACACCUGCAGCGGAAGGAGCGAAGACACCUCUAGUGCCUGUGACUUCUGGUGUCUAACUAAAGAACAAAGGCACAUCUGAAGGACCCCUCAACAUUAUACAGUGUGCUUGAAAGUUGGAAAGCUAAAUCGACUGUUGUGGCCAGUAGACAGAGGGCAGGGUGUCCUGUACCACACGUGAUGGGUGUGGCGGCCUGUGUCACGGUCUUGGUGUUGAUCACGUUCGUCUGCAUGGAAACAGUAUCUUGUGACAAAUGUUACCAUGCCAAGGGAAUCUGUAAAGCUGUAGGUCACACGUGCAUGGGCGUGGUCCGUACAGGCUUGUGUCGACUUCCAUCGCAUGCCUGCUGCUUUCCUCCCUAUCGUGGGAGACGAAAGCGACGCAGCUCUGGACAAGACCUAGGUCGGUUCUGGAACCGACUCAGAAACUCUGCUUAGCGAAGAAGCAAAAGAAAAGACCACCACCAGUAAAUUACGACACAAGAGCUGUUGUAGGUCUUGUCUCUCAGUUUUCAAUUACAAUUCUACAGAAUAUUGUCAUUCUAUGGGUCACAGCCUCGGUAACCUGUGAUUCUGUGCCAUGAUUUGCACUCACAAGAAUUAAGAAUCGAAUAAUGACAUUUUCCUGGAAUACCGAAUAAUUAAUCAUGGUGUCAGUGGUACGAAAAUUAAAAGACGUUGGUCAAAGGU